UGGGCGGGGCCUCCUGCCGCCGUCGCCGUGGCAGCUGCGGGCGCCCUCGGAGGCGGCGGGCGGAGAGCGGGACAGGAGUCUGAGAAGAACUCGUGAUGGCCAAAGACAUCCUGGCAGAGGCGAGUCUCCACUUCGACGAGCUGAACAAACUGAGAGUUUUGGACCCAGAGGUGUCUCAGCAAACGGUCGAGUUGAAAGAGGAAUGCAAAAUAUUUGUAGACAAAGUUGCAGAAUUUAAAAAAAUAGUGAACAACCACAUCGAGCUUGUAGAUCAGCUGGCAAAAACAACUGAGCAUGAGAAGAUCAAGGCCAUCGGUGCUCGCAACUUGCUGAAGUCAAUAGCGAAGCAAAGAGAAGCGCAACAGCAGCAGCUCCAGGAAUUAAUUGCUGAGAAGAAGAAGCAGCUGGAAAGGUCGGGAGGGGUUUGGGGUGCCCCCCAAGGCUAACAGCUCUGUGGCAAGAGAUGCCUUUGCAGGCCGGGACCUGCUUGGAUCCUCGGGGAUUGUUUCUGAGCAGGUAUCGGGUCGAAUAUCAAACACUCUGUAAGAUAGAAGCGGACCAGAAUGAAUUCAUUGACCAGUUCAUCUUCCAGAAGUAGAGCAAUAAAGUCAGGACCAGCAGCAACCAAACUGGGAAAUCGCCAAGCAUUCCAGCACCUUGACAAUUCAAAAAUGAACCAACUUAGCUGAGGUUUGCAUUAGGGUUGAUCAGCAGGUUUUUCAGGACUGCCUCUUGGAUUUUAUAAACAUCUUUUUAAUGGGCAGGCAUUUAUAGUCCAACUUGAACGCUCGGACUGUCUGUGUUCACACAGCUUCCCCCAUUUGUUCAAAUAAAAAGCACCCACUUGUAAUACACUUUUAAGGAAAUAAAUUACUGUUUUUUGA
RNA transcript from Varanus komodoensis (Komodo dragon), 884 nucleotides. It is a transcript of the gene named intraflagellar transport 20, with no coding region annotated. The record is from RefSeq and is a predicted model, not a curated record. The transcript is spliced from 5 exons. Lineage: Eukaryota; Metazoa; Chordata; Lepidosauria; Squamata; Varanidae.